UGUAAGCGUAUACCAAAGUUGUUGCAGUUAAAACGCUCGUAGUCGGAAUUUGGCAGUUCCGGAUGUGUGCACGUCGUGUGCGCACUUCGCGGGGAUUGCUUUUGUGGUCUUGCGUAGGAUGAGGCACUUUUAUUAGUGAACGUCCUCACGCAACCACUUUUUACUGUGAGAAAAUCAGAGUGCUCAAAGCAGGCAUUUGCCGUGAAUGUAUUAGCAUGGAAUAAUAGAAUAGGACUUGGUUCUAUUUUGUUGGUUUGUUGGGACUGAGUAAUGAUUAAGAGGGACAGUUGGGGGCAUUUGUAUUUCGGUGCUAGAGGUGAAAUUCUUAGCUUACCGAAAGACAAACUGCUGCGAAAGCGUCUGCCAAGGAUGUUUUCAUUGA
Molecule: ribosomal RNA, 382 nt
Filed under: uncultured eukaryote
Lineage: Eukaryota
Description: partial 18S ribosomal RNA
Rfam family: Eukaryotic small subunit ribosomal RNA
Source: RNAcentral